This is a long non-coding RNA of Mesocricetus auratus (golden hamster), 509 nucleotides long. RefSeq lists it as uncharacterized. The record is from RefSeq and is a predicted model, not a curated record. The transcript is spliced from 2 exons. NCBI's taxonomy places the organism in Eukaryota, Metazoa, Chordata, Mammalia, Rodentia, Cricetidae.
UUUUCUUUUUUUUUGCACGGUGCUGGGAAUCAGACUAGGGUACUCAUGCUUUGCAACUGAGCUGGCUCUCCUGCCCAUAAAGUGUUUCUUGUGUUGCUGUCUCCAUGACAACAGACACACAGUAAGUAAACAAGCUUCCAUAAAUGGGAAGUGACACUGCAGCAGCUUUAGAUCAGCCCAGACAUAACUUGUGGAUCUAAUAUGGAGAAUGAGCUCAUGAGAAAUAAAGGGGAAAUAAACCCUAAGCUGAUCUUGUGGCUGGCUGCCUGACAAUGUGGAUGACUGGCUAAGAGUUGGGAUACUCCUCCUUCAGUAACGGCAAACUAGGUUCCUGUUACUUCCUCUACUCCAGAAACUCAACCCAGUGCAAACUAAUGGCAUGGAGAUCCACUUAUCAACUCCCUGGGCUCAGAAGACUAAGGGCCAUUUACAUCUGUUAAAUGGAGGGCAUCAUUUCCAGAUCCAAAAAGUCAGGCCACACGAUGGAAAACAAAACUAGUUCCAAAGUA